AGUGAACGCUGGCGGCAUGCCUAACACAUGCAAGUCGAACGGCAGCACAGUAAGAGCUUGCUGUUACGGGGUGCGAGUGGCGGGCGUGUGAGGUAUAUAUCGUAAUCUACUUUUUCGGGGGAGAUAACGUAGGGAGACUUACUCUAAUACCGCAUAACACGUACGGGGGAGAGGGGGGGAUCUUCGCACCUUGCGCGAUUGAAUGAGCCGAUGUCGUAUUAGCUAGUUGGCGGGGUAAAGGCCCACCAAGGCGACGAUCCGUAGCUGGUCUGAGAGGAUGAUCAGCCACACUGGAACUGAGACACGGUCCAGACUCCUACGGGAGGCAGCAGUGGGGAAUGUUGGACAAUGGGCGAAAGCCUGAUCCAGCCAUGCCGCGUGUGUGAAGAAGGCCUUCGGGUUGUAAAGCCCUUUUGUUGGGAAGGAAAAGCAGCAGGUUAAUACCCAGCUGUGCUGACGGUACCGAAAGAAUAAGCACCGGCUAACUUCGUG
RNAcentral lists this ribosomal RNA (492 nucleotides) under uncultured bacterium. RNAcentral's name for it is "partial 16S ribosomal RNA". It matches the Rfam family "Bacterial small subunit ribosomal RNA", at positions 29 to 507 of the family's 1533-position model. The record is from RNAcentral.